CCUGUGUAAAAACUGAAGUACCAAACUGACGAGAUAGAAUGGAGGCUACACGCUGGGAUAUCAUCUCAAUCUGAUCAUCUGUCAAUCUGAGCUCUGAAGGAUGUGCCCAGCUGUCCGGCUGUGAUACUGAAGUAUGCCUCCUCACAGACUCUGAAGGGUCAGCCUCGUGAUCAGAAACAAACUGAAUAUCUGGUGAUGCUGCUCUAUGAUCACGAAGGGGUGAGGAUGGUCCUUCCUCCUUUGCUCUAUUCUUAGCUCUCUCUUCCACACCUUUUGUCCAACCAUCAUCAGUUUUAGAAAAUUCCAUGCGGUAUAAUGUGUGGUAGUUGAUAGUGUCGGAGUGAGAUAGUCUAGCAACUGCCUCCCCAUCAAAACUAACUCCGAACC
This 387-nucleotide long non-coding RNA is filed under the name Elaeis guineensis (African oil palm). Its description in RNAcentral is "long non-coding RNA (EGUI_LNC033033)". Lineage: Eukaryota; Viridiplantae; Streptophyta; Magnoliopsida; Arecales; Arecaceae. The record is from RNAcentral.